GAUGAACGCUAGCGGGAGGCUUAACACAUGCAAGUCGAGGGGCAGCAUAAGGUAGCAAUACUUUGAUGGCGACCGGCGCACGGGUGAGUAACGCGUAUGUAACCUGUCCUUAACAGGAGGAUAACCCGGAGAAAUUCGGACUAAUACUGCAUAAAAUUAUAAAUAGGCAUCUAUUAAUAAUUAAAGCUACGGCGGUUAGGGAGGGGCAUGCGUAACAUUAGCUGGUUGGUAGGGUAACGGCCUACCAAGGCAAUGAUGUUUAGGGGACCUGAGAGGGUGACCCCCCACACUGGUACUGAGACACGGACCAGACUCCUACGGGAGGCAGCAGUGAGGAUAUGGUCAAUGGGCGCAGCCUGAACCAGCCAUCCCGCGUGAAGGAAGAAUGCGCUAUGCGUUGUAAACUUCUUUUCUAGGGGAUAAAUUCUAGUAUGUAUACAGGACUGAAGGUACCCUGAGAAUAAGACAUCGGCUAACUCCGUGCCAGCAGCCGCGGUAACUCUAGUCUACG
Molecule: ribosomal RNA, 511 nt
Filed under: uncultured bacterium
Lineage: Bacteria
Description: bacterial SSU rRNA
Rfam family: Bacterial small subunit ribosomal RNA
Source: RNAcentral